AUGAGUAUAGCCAUUGCAUCAUAUUAUUUAUGCACUUUUGCUUCUAAUGGUUAUGUGCAAGAGAAGAGAACCAUCAUGAUGAAUGAUGUGUUUAUCUACCAUGCGCACACGCUCUUUGUUUUGUUGUGUGCAUGUGUAGGAUACUUGGACUUCGUGUCGACUUCCACUUCAUGUGAGUUGACAAUUCGAGCUCUUGAGAGCAAACCACCUUCUACCACGACGAGUCUACCUCGCACCUACUUGUACUUCGACAUUGUGAAGGACGCACAAGCACAUGCUUUCGAGGUGAUAUCCUUCUCUUUCGAGAAACACAAAACCAUGAGCAUGGAUAUUGUGGAUCACACUACUUGUGUUACUUUCACUAUGAGACUUAUUAGUCAUCUUGGACUACUUGAUUGCACACAUGUUAGAGAUAGUGCUUUCAUUCAUGAUUUUCACAUUGCUAUGCCUCAUGACAUAUAUGCCUUGUGUGUUGCAUCCAACUUGUUCAUUAUUUGCUCCUAUCAUAUGUUUGGUUGCAACAAUGUCAUUUCUUCACGUACGCCAUGCACCUUUGAUUGUCACAUGAUUGAAUUGAUUGCCUCACACAUGUUGAACAUUUGCUCUUUUCAUUUUGUUGAGUGCCACGAUAUCUUCACUACACCCUAUGAACAUUAUGCUUGGAUUGUCUUGCACUUGCCCCAUGUGUUUAGACACAUCAUUAUAUUUGGUGUUAUGGAUGAUUCUUAUGCCUAUCAUAGACCUUUUGUUGAGCACUUUGCACAUUCUUGCUAUGACCUUGAGGUAGAUACUUGUUCACUCGUCAAACAUAUUUGCAUCUCUACCUCCCAUUUGCAUGCUUGUUUCCAUGAUGUCCUUGAUUGUGCUCAAUUUAUAUGCUUAAAUGCCAUGCCACACUUUGUCAAACCAUAUGCUAUGCUUGAUGACGACACUUGUUGGGUGAAUCACCUCUUGAAUGCUUGA
Molecule: ribosomal RNA, 963 nt
Filed under: Triticum aestivum (bread wheat)
Lineage: Eukaryota; Viridiplantae; Streptophyta; Magnoliopsida; Poales; Poaceae
Description: partial small subunit ribosomal RNA
Source: RNAcentral